RNAcentral lists this ribosomal RNA (254 nucleotides) under uncultured bacterium. RNAcentral describes it as "partial 16S ribosomal RNA". It matches the Rfam family "Bacterial small subunit ribosomal RNA", at positions 524 to 776 of the family's 1533-position model. The record is from RNAcentral.
GACGUAGGGCGCGAGCGUUGUCCGGAUUUAUUGGGCGUAAAGAGCUCGUAGGCGGCUUGUCGCGUCGACUGUGAAAACCCGCGGCUCAACCGUGUGGCUUGCAGUUGAUACGGGCAGGCUAGAGUUCGGUAGGGGAGACUGGAAUUCCUGGUGUAGCGGUGAAAUGCGCAGAUAUCAGGAGGAACACCGGUGGCGAAGGCGGGUCUCUGGGCCGAUACUGACGCUGAGGAGCGAAAGCGUGGGGAGCGAACAGG